This 412-nucleotide ribosomal RNA is filed under the name uncultured microorganism. RNAcentral describes it as "bacterial SSU rRNA". It matches the Rfam family "Archaeal small subunit ribosomal RNA", at positions 330 to 745 of the family's 1478-position model. The record is from RNAcentral.
GUGCAGCAGGCGAGAAACCUUCGCAAUGCGCGAAAGCGCGACGAGGGGACUCCGAGUGCCUAUGCUCAGCAUAGGCUGUUCACCGGUGUAAAAGCCGGUGGAGGAAGGGGUGGACAAGACUGGUGCCAGCCGCCGCGGUAAUACCAGCGCCCCAAGUGGUGAUCGAUAUUAUUGGGUCUAAAACGUCCGUAGCCGGCCCGGUAAAUCUCCGGGUAAAUCGUCCAGCUUAACUGGUCGAAUUCUGGGGAGACUGCCGGGCUUGGGACCGGGAGAGGUCGGAGGUACUCCAGGGGUAGGGGUGAAAUCCUGUAAUCCCUGGGGGACCACCGGUGGCGAAGGCGUCCGACUAGAACGGGUCCGACGGUAAGGGACGAAGGCUAGGGGAGCAAACGGGAUUAGAUACCCCCGUAGU